GAUGAAGAACGCAGCGAAAUGCGAUAAGUAGUGUGAAUUGCAGAAUUCAGUGAAUCAUCGAAUCUUUGAACGCACAUUGCGCCCCUUGGUAUCCCGAGGGGCAUGCCUGUUCGAGCGUCAUUUCACCACUCAAGCCUGGCUUGGUGUUGGGCGACGUCCUCUUUGGGGACGCGCCUCGAAACGCUCGGCGGCGUGGCACCGGCUUUAAGCGUAGCAGAAUCUUUCGCUUUGGAAGUCGGGGCCCCGUCUGCCGGAAGACCUGCUCGCAAGGUUGACCUCGGAUCAGGCAGGGAUACUCGCUGAACUUAAGCAUAUCAAUAAGCGGAGGA
Molecule: unclassified non-coding RNA, 329 nt
Filed under: soil metagenome
Description: partial contains 5.8S ribosomal RNA, internal transcribed spacer 2, and large subunit ribosomal RNA
Rfam family: 5.8S ribosomal RNA (bases 1-120)
Source: RNAcentral